Molecule: small nuclear RNA, 107 nt
Organism: Onychomys torridus (southern grasshopper mouse)
Lineage: Eukaryota; Metazoa; Chordata; Mammalia; Rodentia; Cricetidae
Source: RefSeq, a predicted model, not a curated record
GUGUUCGCUUCAGUAGCACAUGUGCUGAAACUGGAACACCAUAGAGAAGACUAGCAUGGCCCCUUUGUAAGGAUAACCCACAAAUUCAUAAAGCAUUCCCUAUCUCU